GAAUAGGAAUACAUAGUUCAGUUUCCCAAAGACACCGUAUCUGACAAAUCGCCAGUCGUAUCAGCAAACUCCGCCGACAUAGCAGAGGUCCUAGCUGAUAUUUCUCGCACAGUCUGGUCUUUGGGCCCCUCUCAUGACAAGAGUGCUGUACAGCAGGAAGAUCGUCCGAUUUUCGAGACACCGCCCAAAGUUGGUGAGAACGUGAUACCUUUAUCUCAGUUUCUCUUGCCUGACGAGAUGCUUCCAAGCCAAACUCCCGAAAGACGAAUGGUUUUGCAUCCAUCAUCGCCCGGAAUAGGCGUCCUAGUAAAUGCCAAGUUUCUCCUUUCAUGGAGGAUUACGACUCUGCUCCAGGAAAGUAUACAUAAACAAGCAUUAAUGUAUUUAAUUUUGUGUAUUCCAAAGCAUAUUAUAUUGAUCAUAUGUAUUUUCUAUAUUUCAGGUGGUUCACAACACAUCACUGUCCGCAUUUUUAAGAAAAAGCAUCCAUUCGCGGAAGAUCCUAUCACCGGCCCAGUCGACACAGAGCUUUUUGAUAAAUACUUGGAGUGAAUUCGCGAGGGACUGCUUGUCAGGCAUGAAAAUAAAAAGAACAAUGAAGACGUUACAGAAAGAAGAUGGCAGCUUUUGAGAAUGAUGCAGAUUAUACUUAUAAUUUUGGCAUCACGGUAGUAGAGAACAAAAACUGGUUCUACCAGUUAUCAAUGAGUGGCCAGCUGUGGAAUGAUGAGCAAAUUGUUGUGAUUUUCUACUACUUAUGAAAGAAAGGCAAGUAUGACAGAAGGAGCAUUUUCAAAUACACAACAGUUGACUAUCUCUUCAUGCAAAAGGUUGAUCAAACAUAUCUUGCAUACAACAACCCGGAAACUGGACCCAAUGUAGCCAACGAAGAAGACGAUAUAUGUCAAUAUGUUAAGGGCUACAGAUUGCAUGCAAAUGUCCCGUGACAUUCAGUUGACAAUAUUUUUAUACCUGUCAACAUCAAAGAGAAUAAUCAUUGGAUUUUGGUUGUAUUCUCAUUCAAUGACAGGUGACUUUUUGUGUACAACUCAUAUCGAGGCAGCGCAGGCCACAACGCAAUUGUUAGAAGGGAAGUACAAAAGCUUGCUGCCCUCCUGGCACAUUAUCUACACAUCAGUGGAUUCUACACUAAAAAAACUAGCAUAAAUUGGCAGAAUCACCCAGCAUAUACGGACAUGACACAGAAUGAGAACAUUCAAGUGGAGUAUGUAGAAAAUCUGCCGCAGCAAGACACUUCUAGCAUGGAUUGUGGUGUGUACGUAGCAGUGUUCGUUGAAUAUCUAAGCACUGGUGAAGGUAUCCCAGCACAAAUCGAUGCAAGAAUGCCCCGCACUAGGUACGGCGCACUCCUUUGGGACUAUGCUGCACGGAAGAUCGAUGAACAUGCUAUGAGCGACAUUGAGGCGCCACCAAAACCAGUUAGGCCAGCAGUGGAUUAUGACAAAGUUGACACAAUUGAUGUUACUUAGGAUCGAUGUAGGAAUAUUUAAUUGUAAUUUCAGACUAUGGCUAUUUUUAUAGCAAAUAUUUUAGAUUUAGUUAGUUUAAGACUAUCUUAUCAAUUUCCUUAAAUUUUAAUUGGAACAUUUAGCUUAGUCUAAUUAUCAAAGUUGUGUGAUUUUAUUUUUGGAAUUUAGAUGAAUGUGUAUAUACGCUAUAUCUUGGAUGUGAUACAGUGAGGUACACUCAAAUACGUACGCGUAUUUAGAUCCUGAAACAAGGGGGUUGUAUGUAUUUGAAUUCGCCAUACCCAGAAACAUUAAAAUAUUUCAAAUACAAUUGCAACUUAAUAAGA
Long non-coding RNA from Lycium ferocissimum, 1816 nucleotides. RefSeq lists it as uncharacterized. The transcript has 5 exons. The record is from RefSeq and is a predicted model, not a curated record. Lineage: Eukaryota; Viridiplantae; Streptophyta; Magnoliopsida; Solanales; Solanaceae.